Long non-coding RNA from Pogoniulus pusillus (Red-fronted tinkerbird), 1045 nucleotides. RefSeq lists it as uncharacterized. Lineage: Eukaryota; Metazoa; Chordata; Aves; Piciformes; Lybiidae. The record is from RefSeq and is a predicted model, not a curated record. The transcript has 8 exons.
UGCCUGUGCAAAACGAUGUGCUGAGUUUCUCUCGUGAAGAAUGAGCUUUUGCUUCACUUUUCCUUCCAUCUGCUUGGGAAGAUGUCAAGAUUAGAUGAGUCACAUGGCAGACCAGAUCUGAGCAAGAGGUUUUUUUCAGAUGUUGUUUGAGGCUGUAAGAACAAGUUUGGUGCUGACCCCAAAGCUUAAUCAGAGAGAGGUUCCAGUGUUUCAGCAGAUUUUGGAGAAUUAAUUGCUGACAUCUGGAAUAUCACAGAAGCUGCACAAAAAUCACUUGAAAAGAUAUUUAACAAGAUGAGCCAUGUAAGUCAUUCUAGGAAGUAAGUACCCAGUUCUGAUAGGGAGAAGACUACAGCUUGGAGCCUGCUGACAAGAUCUGCAGCUCAGGAACAUUCUGUUGGCGUGAGGAAUACUCCAGCUUUGCCAAAAUGAAAUGCAAGAAGGAGACUCUAUCUGAGAUAGACAUCCUCAUGUGCUUUCUUUCAAGAGGAGCAGCAAAAAAUUACUGACCAUACAGAGGUCAGAUCUACAUAACACCAUAUAGAUGUGGCUGCACUGGAACCAAGAAUUGUGUAACCAAAGGACACGAAUCACAACACUAACAACAUGAGGCAAAAAACAAAGGAAGACUCGGGAGGGGAGAACACAAAUGGACUCGUUUUUCAUUUUGACACAGUUUCUUACUAUAGCUCAUAUAGAUGCAUAUUUUCAAGUGAAAUCAAAGGAAAAAUAAAAACUAUUUUGGAACUUAAUAAAAUGCAUGCCUUGAAAGCUCUGGAUACUCUUCGCAGAUUGAAACAUCAUUCUCAGAAUAUCAUCUUGAUUUUUCACUAGCAAAUUUCCUUAAACAUGUAAUGGAGAAAGUGCACUUUUACUUAAAUCAUACUCAGAUCUUAAGAAAGCAAGAUUGUGCUGGUUUGAAACUAGAUAGAAUGUUUUGGUGAGAAGAACUAGAUUAUAGGCUGUGGAAAGAAAACAAUGGUGAUGUCUGCUUCACUCAUAGGCUUGCUGAGAUGUAUAGGAGCAAGAAAUAAAAACAUAGAUA